RNAcentral lists this ribosomal RNA (252 nucleotides) under uncultured bacterium. Its description in RNAcentral is "partial 16S ribosomal RNA". It matches the Rfam family "Bacterial small subunit ribosomal RNA", at positions 524 to 776 of the family's 1533-position model. The record is from RNAcentral.
UACGUAGAGUGCGAGCGUUAAUCGGAAUUACUGGGCGUAAAGCGUGCGCAGGCGGUUCGUUAAGUUCGAUGUGAAAGCCCCGGGCUCAACCUGGGAACUGCAUUGGAAACUGGCGAGCUUGAGUAUGGCAGAGGGGGUGGAAUUCCGCGUGUAGCAGUGAAAUGCGUAGAGAUGCGGAGGAACACCGAUGGCGAAGGCAGCCCCCUGGGCCAAUACUGACGCUCAGGCACGAAAGCGUGGGGAGCAAACGGG